Molecule: ribosomal RNA, 411 nt
Filed under: Actinomycetes bacterium
Lineage: Bacteria; Bacillati; Actinomycetota; Actinomycetes
Description: Actinobacteria bacterium partial 16S ribosomal RNA
Rfam family: Bacterial small subunit ribosomal RNA
Source: RNAcentral
UGGGGAAUAUUGCACAAUGGGCGCAAGCCUGAUGCAGCGACGCCGCGUGGGGGAUGACGGCCUUCGGGUUGUAAACUCCUUUCGCUAGGGACGAAGCUUUUUGUGACGGUACCUAGAUAAGAAGCACCGGCUAACUACGUGCCAGCAGCCGCGGUAAUACGCAGGGUGCGAGCGUUGUCCGGAAUUACUGGGCGUAAAGGGCUCGUUGGUGGUUUGUCGCGUCGUCUGUGAAAUUCCGGGGCUUAACUCCGGGCGUGCAGGCGAUACGGGCAUAACUUGAGUACUGUAGGGGUAACUGGAAUUCCUGGUGUAGCGGUGAAAUGCGCAGAUAUCAGGAGGAACACCGAUGGCGAAGGCAGGUUACUGGGCAGUUACUGACGCUGAGGAGCGAAAGCAUGGGUAGCGAACAGG